AUUGUGCAGUGAAGAUACAAUAUGUGGACUAGAGUUUCUGAUCUGGGAAUCUUCACCCAGAAAUUGAUUAUCAAACCCUUGGCUGUCUGAGCACGCAUAGUUCAUAUUUACAUUUUUUUUUUUUUUAGAUUAUCAUAUUUACAUUGUAUUUUUUUUAGAUUAGUGUUAUUUUUUGUAUGGCUUAUGAUGAUAAUUUACUUAUCUUAGCGGAUUUCAGUGAGAUUUUUUUUAUCAAUGAUCUGAUUGUUACACACACUGAGGCCA
This 264-nucleotide long non-coding RNA is filed under the name Medicago truncatula (barrel medic). Its description in RNAcentral is "lncRNA gene40000". The stretch from base 178 to 264 matches the Rfam family "Small nucleolar RNA R11/Z151". Lineage: Eukaryota; Viridiplantae; Streptophyta; Magnoliopsida; Fabales; Fabaceae. The record is from RNAcentral.